AACGAACGCUGGCGGCGUGCCUAACACAUGCAAGUCGAGCGAGAAAGUUCCUUCGGGAACGAGUACAGCGGCGCACGGGUGAGUAACACGUAGGUAACCUACCCUCGAGCCCGGAAUAACCCGCCGAAAGGUGGGCUAAUGCCAGAUAGGACCACGGUGGUCACGGCCACCGCGGUGAAAGAUGGCCUCUGUUCACAAGCUAUUACUCGAGGAUGGGCCUGCGCGCCAUUAGCUAGUUGGUGAGGUAACGGCUCACCAAGGCGAUGAUGGCUAGCUGGUCUGAGAGGAUGGCCAGCCACACUGGGACUGACACACGGCCCGGACUCCUACGGGAGGCAGCAGUGGGGGAUAUUGCGCAAUGGGCGAAAGCCUGACGCAGCGACG
This 384-nucleotide ribosomal RNA is filed under the name uncultured bacterium. RNAcentral describes it as "bacterial SSU rRNA". It matches the Rfam family "Bacterial small subunit ribosomal RNA", at positions 29 to 396 of the family's 1533-position model. The record is from RNAcentral.